This is a long non-coding RNA of Thrips palmi, 459 nucleotides long. RefSeq lists it as uncharacterized. The transcript has 3 exons. Lineage: Eukaryota; Metazoa; Arthropoda; Insecta; Thysanoptera; Thripidae. The record is from RefSeq and is a predicted model, not a curated record.
AGUGACCUUAAAAGGUCUUCCUCGUUCAUUCACUGCAAGGAAAACACGGGGAACUGUUAGCAGCCGAAGGAGGAAAGCAUUUGAUUUUUCAGACAAUCUGGUGCAUUACCAUCGAGAACCGCAAGAACUGCGGCGGCCCGAUGGCUCUUGAUUUUAAGGCUUGGGGCGAUGUCAUCACCUUCCUUAACUCCAAGGGGAUGAAGGUGUUACUGGAGGCUGUUGACUCUAUUAUUCUAUCCACCAAUCUGCUCUAAGUGAUCGAUGAUGCGUUUUGCGGGCUCCCCAACUGAUCCUUCCGUUUAACUUGUGACUGAAGAUUGCCUAUUAGUGAUCUGUGAUAUAAUCUGUGAUAAAUGUUUUCAUUUGACAUGUAGUAUUUAAUUUAAAAUUUUGACUCGGUUAAUGAUUUGUGAUGUAUCUGUGACUAAUGUUUUCAUUAAACAUUCCUUUUUGGUUAAA